Molecule: ribosomal RNA, 474 nt
Filed under: uncultured bacterium
Lineage: Bacteria
Description: bacterial SSU rRNA
Rfam family: Bacterial small subunit ribosomal RNA
Source: RNAcentral
GGGCUCACACAAGCGGUGGAGGAUGUGGCUUAAUUCGAGGCUACGCGAAGAACCUUAUCCUAGGCUUGACAUGCAUGGAUACCCUCUUUGAAAGAAGAGUAAGUUGCCCUUGUGGUGAAACUUGCACAGGUGCUGCAUGGCUGUCGUCAGCUCGUGUCGUGAGAUGUCGGGUUAAGUCCCUUAACGAGCGAAACCCCUGUCACCAGUUGCUAUCGAGUGAUGUCGAGGACUCUGGUGAGACUGCCGAAGUUAAUGAGGAGGAAGGUGGGGAUGACGUCAAGUCCUCAUGGCCUUUAUGUCUAGGGCUGCACACGUCCUACAAUGGCAUCCACAAAGGGAAGCGAGACUGUGAAGUGGAGCUAAUCCCAAAAAAGGUGUCUCAGUUCGGAUUGCAGGCUGCAACUCGCCUGCAUGAAGCCGGAAUCGCUAGUAAUCGCGGGUCAUCAUACCGCGGUGAAUAUGUUCCUGAGCCUU